CUCGGAGGAGAGUCAGUUCAGUAGGUUGAUGAACGAGGACGGGAGGGGUCGAAGAUGCUCAUUCUGGGCCCCGAAUAAGACCAAACACCCGUGUGGGACAUUCAAGACGAAUGUUGCUGAAGGACUUUACUGCCUGCCCCGCAAAUAGAUGCUAAAUGCCAUCCAGUGGAGGCAGGGAGCAGACAUUGAGGGAGUCUGUUUCUGUCUUUGGUUAUCUAGCUGUAUGAGUAUUAAAUACCUGUCAUAAAGCUAGAUAACCGAAUGUAGGAAUGACUUCCGUAAUUCACAUCGAGAGAAAGAGAAGAAAAGAGAAGAUUCUGUAAAAAGUCAAAACGUUUCAAUUCGUCUUGAAAAGAUGGUGGAAGCAUUGUUCAGAGAAAAAGAGGACAGGGUCACCGCGCUUCCUCCACCCUCUCCUCUCUUUACCCAGAAGCGAUGGGAUGCCAUCUGCACUGCCAGUGACAGACACUGUGCCCAUGCCAGGAGGCAGACAAAGACCUUGGCCGAUCCUGGCUGCGCUCGGAGGAGCCAUCUUAAGAGAUGCUGCCUCGAUAGCUAAAAUGGCUGGGCUGACGUACAAGGAUGAAGAUGACAACAACAACAACCUGCGCGUACCAACCAAUCCACACACAAGUCUCCCUCCCCCCAGCAUAAUAACUCUGCUCAUCUUGAAACCACAGUUUUUUAUUUGUAAUUUUAAUUCACUUUUGUAGCAUGUUCUAAGUGAAAUAUGUUCAUCUUCAAAUCUGUGAAUAAAAAGGAAAUAAAAGUUGUGUGCACCGUUUUUUCAGUAUAAUUGAUUUAAAAAAAUUAAAAGAAGAAGAAGAAGCAAGAUAACUCUGAAUGGAUUUAAAAACGCUUUCAACUAUGAAAAAGGACAAAUAGCGUAUUUUUGAAUGUAAUUUAAAAUAUUUUAAAUUACGAAAAUUUAUAUACUGUACUUCUGAAUUCUGACACAAACAGUAUUGAAAGCGCACUGUAUUGAUAUCGAAAAUAUUUUCAAAGCUUCCGAGAAAGGAUUAUUGAAAUAUAUUCGACGAAAUUGGCCUGAUUAAAAAACUAACAAAAAUGCGCUUGUUUUGGCAGUGCCGUUUCUUGUCACGCCGUUUUGAUCCAACAAAAAGUUUAAAUGAGACUGAAUGCUUCACGUGUGCCGUUAAUAUGAAUAAUGUUAAUGAUUUUUGUCAAAUCUGUUCAAUAGCAUGGUAUUGUCUAUGUGCGUUUUUAUAUAUAGACGGUUUAAAUCAUACUAAAUAAGAGGAAAGGGUCGUUCACUUUAUAUACAUUAAUUAAUAUAUUUUUGUCUCAGACCAGACAGCGUGGGAGGAGUUUGCAAAUCCACUUUUACACACGCACAUAAAUCCAUUUAAUACCAUAAACGAAACAUCUGAAAACUUAAUAUCCCGUCGUGAAGCGAAAUUAAAAUACUUCGAAGGCCCAUGUGUGCUACCAAACAUUUCUAACGGAAUAGCCCAGUGUGCAACAUAAAAUUAAUCCAUUUAAAUUCCACGUCUGCCCUGCAAAAAAAAAAAAAAAAAAAUGUCAACCAGUUAGAAAAUUUUGAAAGUAACAAACUUUAGUGUACAUACAAUAUCCAUCUGAUCAAAAAAUCUAAUAAAGGAACACCAAACGCCAUAUAAAAGAGCUGUAUAUGAUGCUAUAAAUUAAAUAACAAUAAAUAAUAAUAGAAAAAUUAAUCUAAAUUCUACGUCUGCUCUGCAAACAAAACAAACAAAAAAAGGCCAACCAGUUGGAAAAACUGUAAAAGUAACAAACUUUAGUACACAUAUAAUUAUAUCCAUCUGAACAAAAAAUCCAAUAAAAGAACACCAAACACCAUCAAAAACAGCUAUAUUUGAUGCGAUAAAUUCAAUUCCAAACAUAAAAGAAGUGGCAAAACGAUUUUGACAAUUAAAUGUGGACAUUAAAUACUCGAACCGUGUAAUAAAAUGACAAAUGUGAUAAUAUGGCAUGCAGCAUGUUUUCCAUAUUUGUAGCAACCCCUCUCUGGUUGAAUGCAAAGCAAUUAGUAAAAGCAGCCUCUGGAAUGUUGAAAUAAAUGCAUGAAGAAUAUAGAUCACUGAUUUUAAUCAUUCCAAACUUGCUCCACAAACAAGUGCUGCCAUUAAUCAAGACCUAUGACUUCUAUACAACAUCAUUUGUACUGGCCACUUAGGCUGAAAUUGACCUUUAAACACGUGUCUUUAUUUGUUUUGGUGAAGAACCCACAGGACAGCAGGGUUCAAGGGUCAUUAUCAGGAUGUGUCCCCAGAGGACAAUAAACAGACCAGAGAGAUGCUGAGGUCAGGAGCCACAGUCAUAGGUCAAGGGCUGCUAAUUAAGAGGCUACUUCCAACCAUUACACAUAGUGACCACUGGACUCUCUGUAACAGAAUACUGUAAGAUUAAUAAAAAAAAAGAUAAAUAAAUGCAAAUGGUUUCAUUUUAUGGAAGUGUUCUGUUAGCCUAAAAUGUUCCAAAAACAAGCCAUUUCCUAGACUUCAAUGAUUUCUGAGUCACCACAUUUUGGAGGGAAAAUCACUGUUUAUGUAAGCAGAGCUUUAGCAUUAGAAUGGAGAAGGGACACUGUGAAGUCUUUCGAAGACAAGUUUCCUCCCGCUGCGUCAAUAGCGAGCCAUUCAGUGGAGCAUUGGCCUUCACAUACACUCUCAAUUAAGCUGAUUUAACACUUUCUAUGAGGCUUUCCUGACACAAGAACUUUUUCAUGUGCAAUACAUGCCUUGCAAAUGGACAGUACUAAUAUCACAUGCGGGUCUACAG
Corythoichthys intestinalis (scribbled pipefish) is the source of this 2781-nucleotide long non-coding RNA. RefSeq lists it as uncharacterized. The record is from RefSeq and is a predicted model, not a curated record. The transcript has 4 exons. Lineage: Eukaryota; Metazoa; Chordata; Actinopteri; Syngnathiformes; Syngnathidae.